GAUGAACGCUAGCUACAGGCUUAACACAUGCAAGUCGAGGGGCAGCGCAGUGUAGCAAUACAUGGGCGGCGACCGGCGCACGGGUGCGUAACGCGUAUCCAACCUUCCCGUUACUCAGGGAUAGCCUUCCGAAAGGGAGAUUAAUACCUGAUGGUGUUGAAAUUCCGCAUGUUAUUUCAACUAAAGAUUCAUCGGUAACGGAUGGGGAUGCGUGACAUUAGCUGGUUGGCGGGGUAACGGCCCACCAAGGCGACGAUCGUUAGGGGUUCUGAGAGGAAGGUCCCCCACACUGGAACUGAGACACGGUCCAGACUCCUACGGGAGGCAGCAGUGGGGAAUAUUGGGCAAUGGGCGAAAGCCUGAUGCAGCAACGCCGCGUGAACGAAGAAGGUCUUCGGAUUGUAAAGUUCUGUCCUUGGGGAAGAAACAAAUGACGGUACCCUUGGAGGAAGCCCCCGGNUAACUACGUG
Molecule: ribosomal RNA, 470 nt
Filed under: uncultured bacterium
Lineage: Bacteria
Description: bacterial SSU rRNA
Rfam family: Bacterial small subunit ribosomal RNA
Source: RNAcentral